CUACGGGUUGCUCCAGUGAGGAAUAUUGCACAAUGGGGGGAACCCUGAUGCAGCAUCGCCGCGUGGAGGAUGACGCAUUUCGGUGUGUAAACUCCUUUUAUAUGUCAAGAAAAUGACGGUAGCAUAUGAAUAAGCACCGGCUAACUCCGUGCCAGCAGCCGCGGUAAUACGGAGGGUGCAAGCGUUACUCGGAAUCACUGGGCGUAAAGGACGCGUAGGCGGGUUGGAAAGUCAGGUGCGAAAUCCUACAGCUUAACUGUAGAACUGCACUUGAAACUUCUAAUCUAGAGUAUGGGAGGGGGAGAUGGAAUUAGUGGUGUAGGGGUAAAAUCCGUAGAUAUCACUAGGAAUACCUAAAGCGAAGGCGAUCUCCUGGAACAUUACUGACGCUAAGGCGUGAAAGCGUGGGGAGCAAACAGGAUUAGAUACCCCUGUAGUC
This 439-nucleotide ribosomal RNA is filed under the name uncultured bacterium. Its description in RNAcentral is "partial 16S ribosomal RNA". It matches the Rfam family "Bacterial small subunit ribosomal RNA", at positions 339 to 795 of the family's 1533-position model. The record is from RNAcentral.